UGUGAGCUCGAUGAGUAGGGCGGGACACGUGGUAUCCUGUCUGAAUAUGGGGGGACCAUCCUCCAAGGCUAAAUACUCCUGACUGACCGAUAGUGAACCAGUACCGUGAGGGAAAGGCGAAAAGAACCCCGGCGAGGGGAGUGAAAAAGAACCUGAAACCGUGUACGUACAAGCAGUGGGAGCACGCUUAGGCGUGUGACUGCGUACCUUUUGUAUAAUGGGUCAGCGACUUAUAUUCUGUAGCAAGGUUAACCGAAUAGGGGAGCCGAAGGGAAACCGAGUCUUAACUGGGCGUUAAGUUGCAGGGUAUAGACCCGAAACCCGGUGAUCUAGCCAUGGGCAGGUUGAAGGUUGGGUAACACUAACUGGAGGACCGAACCGACUAAUGUUGAAAAAUUAGCGGAUGACUUGUGGCUGGGGGUGAAAGGCCAAUCAAACCGGGAGAUAGCUGGUUCUCCCCGAAAGCUAUUUAGGUAGCGCCUCG
RNAcentral lists this ribosomal RNA (484 nucleotides) under Escherichia coli. RNAcentral's name for it is "partial 23S ribosomal RNA". It matches the Rfam family "Bacterial large subunit ribosomal RNA", at positions 398 to 884 of the family's 2925-position model. Lineage: Bacteria; Pseudomonadati; Pseudomonadota; Gammaproteobacteria; Enterobacterales; Enterobacteriaceae. The record is from RNAcentral.